CAGUCGCCGCGGUAAUACGUAGGGUGCGAGCGUUAAUCGGAAUUACUGGGCGUAAAGCGUGCGCAGGCGGUUAUAUGAGACAGAUGUGAAAUCCCCGGGCUCAACCUGGGACCUGCAUUUGUGACUGUAUAGCUAGAGUACGGUAGAGGGGGAUGGAAUUCCGCGUGUAGCAGUGAAAUGCGUAGAUAUGCGGAGGAACACCGAUGGCGAAGGCAAUCCCCUGGACCCGUACUGACGCUCAUGCACGAAAGCGUGGGGAGCAAACAGGAUUAGAUACCCCCGUAGUCCCUGUCUCUUAUAC
RNAcentral lists this ribosomal RNA (301 nucleotides) under uncultured bacterium. Its description in RNAcentral is "partial 16S ribosomal RNA". It matches the Rfam family "Bacterial small subunit ribosomal RNA", at positions 509 to 807 of the family's 1533-position model. The record is from RNAcentral.